GCCUGAGUGGCUCAGUCAAUUAAGCAUCUGACUUGGACUCAGAUCAUGACCUUGCGGUUCGUGGGUUUAAGCCCCGUGUCAGGCU
RNAcentral lists this transfer RNA (85 nucleotides) under Felis catus (domestic cat). It matches the Rfam family "tRNA". Rfam says of the family: Transfer RNA (tRNA) molecules are approximately 80 nucleotides in length. Their secondary structure includes four short double-helical elements and three loops (D, anti-codon, and T loops). Further hydrogen bonds mediate the characteristic L-shaped molecular structure. tRNAs have two regions of fundamental functional importance: the anti-codon, which is responsible for specific mRNA codon recognition, and the 3' end, to which the tRNAs corresponding amino acid is attached (by aminoacyl-tRNA synthetases). tRNAs cope with the degeneracy of the genetic code in two manners: having more than one tRNA (with a specific anti-codon) for a particular amino acid; and 'wobble' base-pairing, i.e. permitting non-standard base-pairing at the 3rd anti-codon position. Lineage: Eukaryota; Metazoa; Chordata; Mammalia; Carnivora; Felidae. The record is from Rfam by way of RNAcentral.